GAUGAACGCUGGCGGCGUGCCUAAUACAUGCAGUCGAGCGAACAGACGAGGAGCUUGCUCCUCUGACGUUAGCGGCGGACGGGUGAGUAACACGUGGAUAACCUACCUAUAAGACUGGGAUAACUUCGGGAAACCGGAGCUAAUACCGGAUAAUAUAUUGAACCGCAUGGUUCAAUAGUGAAAGACGGUUUUGCUGUCACUUAUAGAUGGAUCCGCGCCGCAUUAGCUAGUUGGUAAGGUAACGGCUUACCAAGGCAACGAUGCGUAGCCGACCUGAGAGGGUGAUCGGCCACACUGGAACUGAGACACGGUCCAGACUCCUACGGGAGGCAGCAGUAGGGAAUCUUCCGCAAUGGGCGAAAGCCUGACGGAGCAACGCCGCGUGAGUGAUGAAGGUCUUCGGAUCGUAAAACUCUGUUAUUAGGGAAGAACAAAUGUGUAAGUAACUAUGCACGUCUUGACGGUACCUAAUCAGAAAGCCACGGCUAACUACGUG
This 496-nucleotide ribosomal RNA is filed under the name uncultured bacterium. Its description in RNAcentral is "partial 16S ribosomal RNA". It matches the Rfam family "Bacterial small subunit ribosomal RNA", at positions 28 to 507 of the family's 1533-position model. The record is from RNAcentral.